This 200-nucleotide unclassified non-coding RNA is filed under the name uncultured fungus. Its description in RNAcentral is "sequence contains ITS1". The record is from RNAcentral. Lineage: Eukaryota; Fungi.
UUUUGCUAUUUAUGUUUUUUCUCAGACAUCACUAAUUAAACGAGUUUUGGUUGGACUCUGGCGGACGCUCGCAGCCGGGGCCACGGCAGGACGAACCUACGAGUCCACCAAAGCAACAAAGGUAAGGUUCGCAUUGGGUUGGAGGUUCGGGGCAAGCCCCUAACUCUUUAAUGAUCCUUCCGCAGGUUCACCUACGGAAA